Molecule: non-coding RNA, 109 nt
Organism: Yokenella regensburgei ATCC 43003
Lineage: Bacteria; Pseudomonadati; Pseudomonadota; Gammaproteobacteria; Enterobacterales; Enterobacteriaceae
Source: Rfam
ACGGUUAUAAAUCAACACCUUGAUUUAUAAAUCAUGGAAAUCCCCUGAGUGAAACAACGAAUUGCUGUGUGUAGUCUUUGCCCAACUCCCACGUUGGGCUUUUUUUUUG